AUAUUUUCUUAUACCUAGCUUCUUUUCGUACGCAGCUAUUUGUUGUCUCUCAUAUUACGUCAGACACACUGGUAUCUGAAACGGAGUACUGCAGUUGCAUGUAGCAGGUGCAUAUAUGCAUGGUAAAUUUCAAAGACUAAUGUGACAACUGAUUGAUCAACGGACCUGGAGGCCUCAGAUCAGAAAGCUCGGUUCUGUGUGUUCCUUCCUUGGAGUAUUGGGCAAUAUAUUCACUUGUGCACGCAUUCUCUGCUUUAAGUCGUUGUGGUUGGACAGCUUGUAUUUCGUGAAGUUAUCGAUUUGGGCGGAAAGCAUUAUAUCCUUGAUUUGGCUGAAUGUUUGUUCAUACAGUGCGUGCAUGCUACCAGCAACUGCCAAUUGCAUCUUCUGCAGACUGCAUAUCUGGUGAUGUUUCACUGGUUCAAAGUUUCAGCCCCAAUAUAGCAG
This is a long non-coding RNA of Lolium rigidum, 447 nucleotides long. RefSeq lists it as uncharacterized. The record is from RefSeq and is a predicted model, not a curated record. The transcript is spliced from 3 exons. Lineage: Eukaryota; Viridiplantae; Streptophyta; Magnoliopsida; Poales; Poaceae.